UUGAACGCUGGCGGCAGGCCUAACACAUGCAAGUCGAACGGUAGCACAGAGAGCUUGCUCUCGGGUGACGAGUGGCGGACGGGUGAGUAAUGUCUGGGAAACUGCCCGAUGGAGGGGGAUAACUACUGGAAACGGUAGCUAAUACCGCAUAAUGUCGCAAGACCAAAGAGGGGGACCUUCGGGCCUCUUGCCAUCGGAUGUGCCCAGAUGGGAUUAGCUUGUUGGUGAGGUAAUGGCUCACCAAGGCGACGAUCCCUAGCUGGUCUGAGAGGAUGACCAGCCACACUGGAACUGAGACACGGUCCAGACUCCUACGGGAGGCAGCAGUGGGGAAUAUUGCACAAUGGGCGCAAGCCUGAUGCAGCCAUGCCGCGUGUGUGAAGAAGGCCUUCGGGUUGUAAAGCACUUUCAGCGGGGAGGAAGGCAAUGCGGUUAAUAACCGUGUUGAUUGACGUUACCCGCAGAAGAAGCACCGGCUAACUCCGUG
RNAcentral lists this ribosomal RNA (487 nucleotides) under uncultured bacterium. Its description in RNAcentral is "partial 16S ribosomal RNA". It matches the Rfam family "Bacterial small subunit ribosomal RNA", at positions 30 to 507 of the family's 1533-position model. The record is from RNAcentral.